GGUAGUCCACGCCGUAAAACGAUGAUAACUAGCUGUCCGGGGACUUGGUCCUUGGGUGGCGCAGCUAACGCAUUAAGUUAUCCGCCUGGGGAGUACGGCCGCAAGGUUAAAACUCAAAUGAAUUGACGGGGGCCUGCACAAGCGGUGGAGCAUGUGGUUUAAUUCGAAGCAACGCGCAGAACCUUACCAGCGUUUGACAUGGUAGACGGCUUCCAGAGAUGGAUUCCGUUCCCUUCGGGGACCUACACACAGGUAGCUGGCAUGGCUGUCGUCAGCUCGUGUACGUGAGAUGUGGUUAAGUCCCGNUAACGAGCGCAACCCUGGCCUUAAGUCCAGUCAUUCAGUUGGUACUCUAACGACGCCGUGAUACGCGAGAGUGGGACUGACGUCAAUCGAUCGACGUGCCCGUUAGUCGACCGUGGGACUACGACGACGUCGCUACGAAUGGCUGGUACAACGAGUCGACAAGUCGGUGUACGGCAAGCUAAUCGUCUUAAAGGCCAGUCUCGUAGUUCGGAUUGUACGGCUGACAACUCGCCUACAUACGG
This 548-nucleotide ribosomal RNA is filed under the name uncultured Sphingomonas sp. Its description in RNAcentral is "bacterial SSU rRNA". It matches the Rfam family "Bacterial small subunit ribosomal RNA", at positions 789 to 1325 of the family's 1533-position model. The record is from RNAcentral. Lineage: Bacteria; Pseudomonadati; Pseudomonadota; Alphaproteobacteria; Sphingomonadales; Sphingomonadaceae.